GCUUAGGCCGUUUUUAGUAAUUCUGUUGUACAGGAAGUGUGGUAUCAGCAUUUGCUUCUGGUGAGGGCCUCAGGAACCUUACAAUCAUGGCGAAAGGUAAGGGGGAGUAGGCGCAUCACAUGGCAAGGUGGGCGGGGGAGGUGCCACAUUUUUUUAAACAACCAGCAUUCAUGGGAACUGCCAGAGCAAGAACUCACCCUUUACCAUGGGAAUGGUAUCAAGCCAUUCAAGAGGGAUCUGCCCCGAUAACCCAAACAUCUCUCACCAGGCCCCACCUCCAACAUUGGGGAUUACAUUUCAACAUGAGAUUUGGAGGGGCAAACAUCCAAACUAUACCAUGAGACUUUCUCUUUAAGAAGAAAUCGACCACUAGAAACACCAGCUGAAUUCAUGUUUAAUACUUACGUUGCCUCUUCAUGCAAGUAUUUAGAAAAAUAUGGGUCUCACAUAACUUGAGAUGAUGACCCUGAGUUACAAUGGUCAAAAUGGGGUGCCUUGGAAAUACCUAAACUAGUUUAUCUGCAUGCUCAAUUGGAAAAACCCAGCUCUAAAAUAAAACAAAAUAACUGGGAGAGCUAUUUUCAAUGGAAAGUAGAAACUUUUUUAGAAGCUUCUAAAUAAGUUUCUAGUAAAGGCAUUUGUUUGCAAGUGGAAAACAAAGGAUUGUCUAAAACAAUUUCUAAAUUGAAAAAGACUGCUGAAAUUUCUCCCCCUUUUUCAACUCUUCCUUCCCUUUUGUUGGAACAUCCUUGUCUGGACUUUACCUCCCCUUCCUCUUCCUCCUCUUUCUCCUGCUGUUCUGGUUCCAUUUUGGGAACACCCUCUGUCCAGUACAGAAGAAACUGCCUUGGUUUAUCAACUAUGGUAAAAAUAGAACUUAAAGGGAUAACUAAAGAAUUCCCAGAUCCUUUUCAGAACUCUGUUGGAUUUGCUAGAGGUUUUGAAUUAAACAUUUGAGCUUAUGAUCCAGGAAUUUCUGAUUUAUAUCAACAGGUUCACAUUUUAGUGUCAGAAAAUAAAGCCAAAGAUUGGAUAGCAAAGGCAAACUGGAGAAAUCUUUUAAAGGACUUCCAUAAUUUUUUUGAAGCCGAUAGCAAAUGUGCUCACAAUACUGUCAAAGCUUUAGUUGACUCUAUCCCCUUAGUUUUCCAAAAAGUGGUUGAUUGGAACAAAAUACAACACGCUGAAAAAAUCCUGUUGAUCACAUAAUGUCAUACUACGGGAAAUUUGAAAGAAUGUUUAAACAAUAUUCAGGCCUAUCAGAAGAAAGUUAUGCUAACCAUCAAAAUGAUACUCUCCUUAACUCAAACUUUAUAAAUGAAUCAGAUGAAGAAAUGGCAACUAUAAUAAAUAAACAAUGCCCUGGUUGGGCUACCUCUCAAACUCAUAAUCUAGUUAAUUUUGCCAAUCCAAUGUUCUAUACUAUAACCAAAGAAGAAAAGGAAAGGGAAGUUAAAUCAAGAGGAAAAGUAAAUAAGUCAUGAGUUUACAACUAAAACAAUUGUCCAGACCAGGUGUGGGGGCUCAUGCUUGUAAUCCCAGCACUUUGGGAGGCCAAGGUAGGUGGAUCACUUGAGUCCAGGGGUUCAAGAUCAGCCUGUGUGACAUGGCAAAAUCCCAUUUCUACAAAAUAAAAAUAAAAAUAAACAAUUGUCCAAUCAAUUUAUAACCCCUACACAACCUAAUAAUUUCCCAAACUGACCCAAAUGAACCACUUUUCAACUACUAAAAAAAGCCUGAACAUUUCAGAAAGGAUUGUAUAAUACUCACAUCUCCUUUCAAGAAGAGGGAUAUGCAUUUAGAAUUAGAAUAUAAAAUAGAAUUAUUACGUUCCAAAAAAUGUUCAAAACCUGAUCAUUUUAAAUCAUAAAUUGCAAUUCAUAUUGUCACAGAGGAAACUAAAUUGGUAAAUAAUUAAAAAUUAUAAGAGCUGUUAAAAGUAGUAUCUGAUCUCACAGGGCCAGGUGGCUCAUUCCUAUAAUCGCAGCACUGUAGGAGCUCAAGGCAGGUAGAUCACUUGAGGCCAGGAGUUAGAGACCAGCCUGGCCAACAUGGCAAAACCCCAUCUUUACUAAAAACGCAAAAAUUAGCCAGGCGUGGUGAUGCAUGCCUGUAAUCCCAGCUACUUGGACGAUUGAGGCAUGAGAAUCACUUGAACCUAGGAAGUCGAGGUUGCAAUGAGCUGAGAUCAUGCCACUGCACUCCAGUCUGGGUGACAAAGUGAGACCCUGUCUCAAAAAAAAAAAAAAUAGUAAUAUCUGAUCUCUUUGGUUUUGGGGAACCAAGGAUUACUUUGUGCUGUGAGAGAGAACUUGACUUCAGUGUAUGCAGUGUCUGACAAGCCACUGCAAAAGCUGCAGUUUGGGGAGUGGCUGACAAUGGUCUCAGUGAAUGCUUGUUAAUGCAGAGUGCUACUUAUUUCUUUGUGCACUUAGGUAAAAAGGCGGGUUUGAACAUUUGGAGGUUGUGGGGACACUUGCCACCAAGAGAUAAGACUCCUGACAGGGAAGGGCUGAUCACAGAAGGGGCUGAUCGGCAUCAUUUCACCCGCCAGCAACAAAGGAAUGUCUUCAUGGUGAAAGGCACUGUGGAAGCAUUGCAUGGCCCAGUCCCAGGGGAUUUCCUUUUAUUAGGGGACCUGGGAUUGUAAAAGUGGGAUCCUUGAUUUUUUGUUUGUUUGUUUUUGAGACAGAGUCUCACUCUGUCACCCAGGCUGGAGUGCAGUGGCACGAUCUUGGCUCACUGCAACCUCCGUCUCCCGGGUUCAAGUGAUUCUCCUGCCUCAGCCUCCCGAGUAGCUGGGACUACAGGUGUGUACCACCACACCCAGUUAUUUUUUUGUAUUUUUAGUACAGAUGGGCUUCACCAUGUUAGCCAGGAAGGUCUCGAUCUCCUGACCUUGUGAUCCGCCUACCUCGGCCUCCCAAAGUGUUGGGAUUACAGGUGUGAGCCACCACACCCGGCCAGAGAUCCUUGAUUUUUAAAGAUCUAGAUGUGCUGCAUUCCAGCUGUGCCUGCUUUUCAUAUAUUUAAAUAUUAGGCCCUGGUAACUGCAAAGGCUUUCUUUGUUUGCCUUGUUCAUUAAAGGGCUCCACCUUGAAGUCAGUAAUCUAAUCAAGAGACAAAUUAAGUGGAAAAGAACACCUAUCUAACCAGAUUGGUAUCCAAAAUACAAUGUUCUUAGCUGGCUAUACUGAAACUUUUUGUAAAAUAAAUCUACAUCUAUAAAGGAAACCUCCAUUUGUAAGGACAUCUCCCUCACUGUACCUAAACCACUAGAAACUUUUGGGAAAACAUUAGUUUAAAGUUUACAUGACAAAUCUUGCCUUUAUUUAAGAUACUUAACAUAGGCCUUUACCUAUGCCCUUCUUUGUCUCAGCAAAUAAUGGUGUUUACAUCUAACUUCUGUGUCUUUAAAUAAAAAUUCUCACAUAAGAGUCAUGUCUUUAAAAGUACAAAUUUAGGGUUGCCUAGCUAAUAUUGUUUAGAGCUUGAUUGUUUAUAGAUGGUAGAAAAACCAUUUGAUAAUUGGCCUAAAAAGGAUGUUAUGAAGCUGUAAAAUAUACUUCUGUGUGUAUGUCUAUAUGUUUAUAAGUGUCAUGUAUGUGAUAUUUCCUUACAAAGAUAUAUGAAAAAGCUCUAAUCAUUGGCUUUUAAAAAGUAAACACUUAAAUAUUUAAUCAGAAAAAUAGAAACAAACUCAAAUGCCUUUAGUUUACAUGACUUGGGUAAAUGCUUAGUAAAUAAGACUAGUUUAAUAUUGUUGGUUUAAUGAAAACAGCUGUGUCUUCUAAUCAACAAACUAUGCAUGUAUUUAACUUUAGGGUUCCUGCUUAGGUGGCAAAUACCUAACAUUCACAAGCUGUAAAAAUGAUUAACUAAUAAAUAGCUUGAGAUAAUAGCUAGCUUUGUUUAAUGAACUAUUCAAGCAUAAUUGUUAAAGAUGAAUAAAUUAGGCCAGUUGUGGUGGCUCAUGCCUGUAAUCCCAGCACUUUGGAAAGCCAAGGCAGGUGGAUCACCUGAGAUCAGGAGUUUGAGACCAGCCUGGGCAACAUGGUGAAACUCCAUCUCUACUGAAAAUACAAAAUUAGCCAGGCAUGGUGGCACAUGCCUGUAAUCACAGCUACUUGGGAGGUUGAGGCAAGAGAA
Molecule: long non-coding RNA, 4149 nt
Filed under: Homo sapiens (human)
Lineage: Eukaryota; Metazoa; Chordata; Mammalia; Primates; Hominidae
Description: HSALNT0072228
Source: RNAcentral